GCCGAAGUGGUGGAAUUGGUAGACACGCUAGGUUCAGGGUCUAGUGGGGGUUCCCCCGUAGGAGUUCGAGUCUCCUCUUCGGCACCA
This 87-nucleotide transfer RNA is filed under the name Deltaproteobacteria bacterium. RNAcentral's name for it is "tRNA-Leu". It matches the Rfam family "tRNA". Rfam says of the family: Transfer RNA (tRNA) molecules are approximately 80 nucleotides in length. Their secondary structure includes four short double-helical elements and three loops (D, anti-codon, and T loops). Lineage: Bacteria; Pseudomonadati; Myxococcota; Myxococcia. The record is from RNAcentral.